RNAcentral lists this ribosomal RNA (99 nucleotides) under Blastodinium galatheanum. RNAcentral describes it as "partial 18S ribosomal RNA". It matches the Rfam family "Eukaryotic small subunit ribosomal RNA", at positions 1733 to 1831 of the family's 1831-position model. The record is from RNAcentral. Lineage: Eukaryota; Dinophyceae; Blastodiniales.
UCCGGAAUAUUGCUGCAGAGAGUUUGGUGAAUCUUGACACUUACAGAAAGGAGAAUUCUUAACAAGGUUUCCGUAGGUGAACCUGCGGAAGGAUCAUUC